UCAGCCGCACCACAAAAGAAGAAGAAAAAAGGGGGGGAAACUCCUAACCUAGAAAAUCGGCAGACCCUCAAGCAAAAUGAGAGCAGCCGCCACCCUCAACAAACUCCAGCAGCAGCCGUCCCCACCUUUUGGCUUAGCCCUCGUCUUUUCCCUCUAUUCAUUUUCCCUUUUGGAUUCUUUUGCAAAUUCCUUAAUCCACCUGACAUAUAGUAGUCCCAAGAAUUGUUUGUAGAAUUUUUCCUAAUUGUUUGUAGAAUUUUUCCUUCUUUACCCAUUUGGUUUGGAGUCGAGUAUUCUGGAUUUCACAUUCUAGCUGCCUGGGGUUUCUUUCGAUUUUUCUCCUGGGCUUAUAACACAGAAACGCAAGCCACAUCUCUGAAACGACAAAUAUGCAGCGUUUUUGGGUGGAGAGAGCAGUCGAGGUUUUCGAUCGAUUUUCCGACGAGGUUCGUUGAGGUUUCCGGCGAGGUGGACGCCGUCCAUUCCAGCUCAUUUCCGGAUUUUAUUUGGUACUUCGAACUGUUUCCUUGCUUUCAAUAAGCCACACCUCUUGAUUUGCAGAAUCAAUCAUAUCAUAAAAUUUUUGUGCAUCGGGAUUCGGUAAUUCGUCCAUAUAUCGAAUAAGGGGCCAACGACGUCAAGGACCAUUCUAUGGUAUGAAGCAGGUGAUCCAAGCUCAUCAAUUACACCCACAUUUACUGAUCCCAAUUUUGCAUCUCUUCAUGUUGAUCUAUAUUUCUCGUAACCUCAUUUUCUCCGUGCAAGUACCAUAUAUGAUAUCCAAGUACAAAGCCAUUGCGCAAUAAAUGUUCGUGGACCGUAAAAACAUCUUCAAAAUUUCUAUUUUGACAUUUUUUUUUGUUACAUGGGCACCUUAGUCUCUCACCAUCCCUCCCUUCCCAAUGAUUCUUUGCAAACUCAAUAAAUUUCUCAACACACCUUACGAAUUUUGGAUUAUACAAACCUCUCGUUAACCUUUUGUAUAUCCACUCACGAUUUGAAGUCAUUUUUCUGGCACACUUUCUUUUCUGAUAAUGUAAAAAGAUUACAGUAGCAUUUAUUGAUAUCUAAAAAUCUUUGGAUAGUAAAAAAUGAGUACUAAUAAUCAAAUUAGGCUUCGAAUCCCAAUUAUAAUGAGCACACGCUUUCAAAUCAUUACCUAAAAAAUGGCACAAUAAAUGUUCACAGAGAGAUUGGAAGAGAUAGCUACAUACCAAUAGCAAAGGACAAAUGUUUAAAAAAGCGAUCGCUUCGUCGUUUUAAGCGAGAAGCAUUGCGAAGCGACAAUGCAUCAUUUUUCUGAAGUUGAGGCGAGGCGAUUUUCAAAAGUGAUUGCUUCAACACUUGAAUCGAGAAGCGACGCAAAAGCAAGAAGUGAAAAAACGAUCACUUUAGUCAAAAGGGGUCAAUUUCUUUUUUUAGAAAAAGAUUGGGUCUUUUUCUUAUUAUACAAAACAUAGACCCCAAAGUGAAUAUAUUUCAUUAUCUUCUUCCAUUCCAUCUAGCAUCGUUGCUGCUAGGGUUCCAGAAGUCUGUCCAGGGGCUGGGUAUGUUAUGGUAUGAGGCCCGACGCCUAAUAUUUUUGGGGCACUGGUGCUAUUAGCUUUUGGUAAAGCUGACCGAGAUAUUUCUUUGAAAGCAUUUCUUGUUGAUCAACUUAGGAAUAACAUGGAGGAAUCUGAGCUUGAACACCUUUCAUAAGCAAAUCCAAAAGCCAACUGGAUAGUUUCCUAAGUUGCACGUAUACUAUUACGGAAAUCUUUAAGUGAACCACUUCGUGAAGAGGAUCACAAAAAAAUAAGGAUAGAAAUACUACGAAGACUUAGUUGAAGAUGCAGCUGGAUUAUAGACAUUUUUCGCUGCAUUCCUCUCAAAUUAAGAGUGGGAGUGGCUUACAAAGAUAUGUACAUUUGUAAUGGUGGGAGGAUUGCAAUAGUCUUGUUAGGCUUCCCAUUUUGUGAACGCAAGGAACUAUCAGGGAACUCCCUUCGUUAUGUCUUUAAGAUUGUUAAAGCGGCAAUAUCAAAGAUGCAUUUGAAUUACCAGUCUCUAAUCAUCAGUUGUUCAAGAAUGACACUACCGAUACUUAGAUUCUUCCUCGCAUUGCAUACCUCAGGUACAUUAUAAUGUAAUACGUACCUAAACUUAACUCCCCAUUGACUAGUUGGUACAUAUAUAAUAGUAGAUCCUUAAUUUUUGUAUAAUCAUAUGAUAUCCGACAUCUAUUGACUCAAACGUAUGUGAAUCAUCCGUCUUAUAGCAUAUAAUUUUUUUGUGUGUUGAUGGUUAGACAAGGUAGCCAUACUGGAGGCGUUGCCCCUUCACGUUCAGAAUCAAUCGAGCAAGAAAACGUGUUGGGCAGACGACUUUUUGAGGUGGCAAAAGUGAGGGAAGUGAAACACUUGUUAAAGAUGCUCCCGUUAUGGUCAACAUUUCUUGUUUACAGUCUUGUAGGGGCUACAGGGAGAACCUUCUUUUUUGAACAAACUAAAUAUAUGGAUGACUGUCGCGGAAAUUGCUCAUUAAUAGUUUUUGUCAUUGCCAUGACAUUCACACAUAUCCUGUAUUUAGGAUAUGUCCGUUGCACCACAAUGAAAUUCAUGUGCGGCAUCCUUUGAUCAACAGAGUUAGCCUUCGAAUGUUUUGUUCCGUAAUAUGUUGUGUAACUGUUUGGAGAGUUGAAGAUCACAAGCUUCAUCAUGUGGGGAUACACCUCAUUAGUAUUUUCUGGCUAACUCUUUAAUUCAUCUUGAUUGUGAUUAUGGAGGGAUUGACUGCCAUUGGACUCCAAGAUUUCUUUGAAUCUCAGGUUUCUGAGUCAAUGAAUCAGUAUGGAUCACAAUUAAACGAACUCGUCUUAGGCAUUAGCCAAUUCUUAAAUGUCAUAUGCAUCAUCAUUUUCGAAUCCUUAUUUAAGGAAGACGUAGAUAAGAGCCGUUUAGACAAGUAUUAUGCAAUGUUAAUAGUUCCUACCUUUCUCAAUUUUUGCUUAUGCUGUUUGUUGAUCAGGAACUGGUAUGAUAAUCAUGAGCCGUAUGAUACCGAAGUGUUGGAGGACAUUGCUUAAGAAUUAUAGGAGAACAUAUUAAAGAUGAUAAAUUAGAACAACACAAGCUAGACUUUUUUAUGUCCUCACUUCUUUAAGAAUAUGUCCUCCCAUAAUUCUUGAGCAAUGUCCUCCAACACUUCGGUAUCAUGAGGCUCAUGAUUAUCAUACCAAUUUCUGAUCAGCAAACAACAUAAGCAAAAAUUGAGGGAGGUAGGAACUAUUAACAUUGCAUAAUACUUGUCUAAAAAACCCUUAUCUACGUCUUCCUUAAACAAGGAUCUGAAAAUGAGUAAGACGAGUUUUCGUUUAAUUGUGGUCCAUACUGAUUCAUUGACUCAGAAACCUGAGAUUCAAAGAAAUCUUGGAGUCUUGUGGCAGCCAAUCCCUCUAUAACCUUAAUCAAGAUGAAUUGAGGAGUUAGCCAGAAAAUAGUAAUGGGGUGUAUCCCCACAUGAUGAAGCUUGUGAACUUCAAGCAGUUACACAACAUAUUACGGAACAAAACAUUUCAAGGCUAACUCUGUUGAGCAAAAGACGCCGCACAUGACUUUUAUUGUGGUGCAACGAACAUAUCCUGGAUACAGUGAAUGCCAUGGCAAUGACAAAAACUAUAAGUGAGGAAUUUCCGAGACAGUCAUCCAUGUAUUUAGCUUGUUCAAAAAAUACUACAAGAAAUGUUGACCACAAACGGGAGCAUGUUUCACUUUUGCUACCUCAAAAAGCCAUCUGCCCACCAUGUUUUCUUGCUCGGUUGAUUCUGAACGGGAAGGGGACGACUCCUCCAAUAUGGCUGCCUUGUCCAACCAUCUGCAUAAAAAAAUAUGUUAUAAGAUGGAUGAUUCACAUACGUUUGAGUCAGUGCAUGUCGGAUAUCAUAUGGUUAUACAAAAAUUAAGGACGUACUAUUGUAUCUGUACCAACUAGUCAAUGGGGAGUUAAGUUUAGGUAUGUAUUACAUUAUAAUGUACCUAAGGAAUGCAAUGCGAGGAAGAAUCUAUGUAUCGAUAGUGUCAUUCUUGAACAACUGAUGAUUAGAGACUGGGUAAUUCAGAUGCCUCUUUGAUAUUGCCGCUUUAACAAUCUUAAAGACAUAACGAAGAGAGCUCCCUGAUAGUUCAUAAAAUGGGAAGCCCCAACAAGAAUAUAACAAUCCUCCCACCAUUACAAAUGUAUAUAUCUUUGUAAGCCACUCCCACUCUUAAUUUGAGAUGAAUUCAACGAAAAAUAUACCUAUAAUCCAGCUGCAUCUCCAACUAAGUCUUCGUAGUAUUUCUAUCCUUAUUUUUUUGUGGUUCACUUAAAGAUUUCCGUAAUAGUAUACGUGCAACCUAGGAAACUAUCCAGUUAGCUUUUGGAUUUGCUUCUGAAAGGUGUUCGAGCUUAGAUUCCUCCAUGUUCUUCCGAAGUUGGUCAAGUGUAUUUGAUACUGGGACUUCCAUUGUUAAACUUUUUCUUAAAAUGGAGAGUUGCUGUUUAUAAAUGUAUCCUGCCUCAUCAAGGUUCACACACCUGGUGUUGACUUUUUGGAGCUUCAAGCUUCUGAAAUUGCAGCGGCAAUGGCUUUGUCUGCCUCGGCCUUUCAAGAAAAAAGCAGGCAAAAGACAUUGAAAAGCUAAUACAGUUGCCUUACUUUCUUUUAUAUUAGAAGAGACUUGACAAGCUUGAGCAGCCUCUUUCAUCAACGCGCCUGCUUGGCAGCCAUGUGUUCUGCCCUCGCUCUGUCCUAUGAAAUAUCCAACCUUUUCUAGACUUAUCUAUCCUUCCACUCUUCUCCGAAGCUUAGUAGGAUAACUAGGGCAACAAUCGUUUGGAUUUCGGCCCGCCAAUUUCAUACGACGCCAUAUGUAGCUGUAGCAGUUUUCUCUUUUGGGCCCUAGCAGUGAACUGAAACGUCACUUUUCUUAGGCGAACUUGCUUCUCUCCAUCUCUUUUCUCCGGUGAAAUCUAUUGCUAGGUACCCUUCUUUCUCUCUGACCUUGUUCCUCUUGAUUUCUACCCUUGCACUUCAAAAUUCAUCCUUAUGCUACCCUUGUAAUCAUUUGGAGGUCUCCAUGUCCGUUAAUCGAUUUUGCAAUCGCUAUGGGGUUUUUUUGAUUGAGUUUUUGUCUAGACAAUUGAAGAACCAGUCCUCUAAACAUACAAAACAUUUUUCACUUUUCAAUAUUCAAUCUAACACAUAAAAUGGAUCACGGAGUAGAAUCUAACCAUGACAUUGGAGAGAAAAUUUUAGCUACUCUCUUUCUGUGAUAAUAGUGUGGUUGAUUUUAGUUGUUCCGUGGUUAAGAGUGGUAACUCCAAUUGAAAAAGGCCUAAAUUUGUAGUUCUUAUUCCUACUCGCUUUUUCUGAUAAUAGUUUAGCCAAGAUUGGUGGUCUGCUGUUAGUAUCAUACCAGUGUCUCUGUUAUUUUCAAUUCAAUAUUCAGAUAAUUAUUUAUGAUACGUCAAAUGUGAACAGGGCCGCUGCAUAAUGCCUGAUUAAAUUUCUUCAAAAAGGUUAUACCCCUUAACUGGUGUCUUUUGGACUAAAUAAGAACAAGUUCUGCAUUUCGUCUUCCUUUUCUUUUUUGUUUCCGUCCUCUCUUCCCCUGUUAUACUUUAUACCCCAUUUUUGCUCUAUACUUUUUUUAACUAUUGCCCUUCACUUCAAUGAAGCGUGCGUUUCGCUUUUGAAGCGAGGCGAGCCCCUGUCGCUUUUUUCUCUCAAAAACAGAGUUAUACACAUUAUAGCACAACAGCCUCAAUAUGAAAGACUAGGUACUUUUGGUACUCCUAUUAUUUGGUUUACGAUACUUAGAUAAGCUUCUUGUGAAACUACAAUUGUUUUUUCUUAGCAUAAUAAGGUGCACAGAGUGUGCUACAAAAAUAAAAUAAAAAAGUACAAUGAGUGCUAAUGCAGAUGUCCAGGUUCUUGAAAUCUUUUUACACCAUUCCAGUUGGAGAUUUUGCUUACUGAAGGGUACAUCACGAUUUUGACUGGUUGGUUCUCUGGCAGUUUUUUGCGAGUAUUUUCUACUUAGUGUUGUGGCGCUCAAACAGAAGGUUUUUGGUAUUUGAAAUGAUUACCCGAUAACAAAGAGACAUAUUAUGCAUCUUUUUACAGUCAGUUUCUUCUGCUGCUUUAUUUCUUGACCUGUUGGAAAAGUGAACAUUUGAUUUUUUGUUUGAAGUCAAUAUCAUAAGCCUGCUUCAGUUUUGGAAUUCUCAUUUGGAUCUUUCCAUGGAAGAAAACAUAUCUGUCCAUUGGAUAUGUGAGAACCUGUUUGGUAAACUCUGUAUGGAGUAAUACUUUUUCAGAUCUUUGGCCCAUCCUAGACUACUAAUGAAGGAACUACUAAUAUUCUUUUUGUGGGUGUAAAGUUAUAUUUAGCAAGAAAUGGGGGACCUGUUUUUGGUUUUUAGACUAACUAGUAGCUUCUUAAAUGUUAAGUUUUUUGAAAUGCUAAGAAGAUAUUUAGUAACACCAGGUUAGACAGGACUCCUUAACCUACUUAAUUUAAAAUAGAAAUUCAGGCCCUUUGUGGCAUUUUCCUUUAUCAUUGAUGGAGGAAGAGUGUGUCUAUACCAUUUAAGUUCCAAGUGGCAGGUAAUCUUCUUUAGAUAACCCGAUGCACCAACCAAGAUCAUCUUGCCAAAUUUCAUGUAGUUACAGAGGUAAUUUUGUACAAUAAUGGUCUUGUAAAGCUUAUUUCAAUGAUAACAAAGUAAAUUAGGCAAAAAGAUCAUCUUGCAAAAAUGCUCAGCAAUAACUGGAUGGUACUUUUGCAUCGAUCAUAACAUCCUGCACAUUACAUAAUGUCGUUGGUGUUGUAAACAUUAUUUGAUUAGCUGCUGUUUCUGAACAGGCGAACCUAAAAACAUUGCAUUUUUAAGUAGGCUUCAGAUUCCUGGUUUUCUCAGUUAUUUUACUGUUUUGCAGUUUUCCCACUCUUAGUUGAAAUGGUUUGUAGGGACAAUGGCCCCUGUGAUGAGAUUUACAGCUUAAUCUGGAGUCAAGAUUUUUCGUGAUGCGAGUAGUGUCAUAUGACAGUCUGGUAAUGGAUAGUUCAGAAAUAGAAACCCACCCAUCUCACAUAUUGCCAUUGUCGAGGAAUCUAAGGCACACUUCACCUUCAACCGAAAUUACAGCGAGUGAGGGAUUGUUUGGAGAAUGUUGGUCACCUUCUAAGUGCUGAAGUUGACGGAAUUCAAUCUUUGUCACAUGCUUAGUUAUAUGUAGACCAUUCAGGAAGAUAUAUUUCUCAAUGAAAAGAGUAUUUUUUCGACUACGUGACUGUAAUUACAUAUAUAUUCAGAACUGUUGUUUACUAUACUUACAGCUGGAAGUUUGGUGA
Nicotiana tabacum (common tobacco) is the source of this 7379-nucleotide long non-coding RNA. RefSeq lists it as uncharacterized. Lineage: Eukaryota; Viridiplantae; Streptophyta; Magnoliopsida; Solanales; Solanaceae. The record is from RefSeq and is a predicted model, not a curated record.